This 661-nucleotide small RNA is filed under the name Pongo abelii (Sumatran orangutan). RNAcentral's name for it is "retained intron". Lineage: Eukaryota; Metazoa; Chordata; Mammalia; Primates; Hominidae. The record is from RNAcentral.
UCAAGUUUGACGCAUCACGUGGCGUGCGGAUCCACUGAAGGUCCACAGAGAGGGGCGCCCAUCUCCUGCGUCUCAGUUAUCCCGGUAAUCGUGUAUCUGCCCAUUGUUCGUUGUCUCAUUAACUUGGCUUUCUGGGUGCACCCACCUUGCCACCAGAGAAGUCCAAAUCCUGACUUCUCUCCAAGGUAUUGGGAAUUCUGUGCCCUAAAGAAUUCCGACUCAGAUCCGAACGGGGAUCUGGUGGAAUCGAGGGUGAAAGACCAGAGGGACGAUGUUCUACUAUCCCUACGUGCUUCAGCGCCACACCGGCUGCUUUGCCACCAUCUGGCUGGCGGCGACUCGCGGCAGCCGGUUGGUGAAGCGCGAAUACCUGAAGGUGAAUGUGGUGAAGACCUGCGAGGAAAUCCUCAAUUAUGUGCUGGUACGAGUGCAACCCCCGCAGCCCGGCCUGCCGCGGCCCCGCUUCUCCCUCUAUCUCUCAGCCCAACUUCAGAUCGGUGUGAUCCGCGUCUAUUCUCAACAAUGCCAGUACCUUGUGGGUAAGGCUGGGAACCCUCAAAGGCGGGGCGGGCUGAGCAGCUGUCUGCUAAGCUGGCUGUCUACCUCACCCUCCCUGCCCACAGAGGACAUCCAGCACAUCUUGGAGCGCCUCCACCGUGCC